Lolium perenne is the source of this 595-nucleotide long non-coding RNA. RefSeq lists it as uncharacterized. NCBI's taxonomy places the organism in Eukaryota, Viridiplantae, Streptophyta, Magnoliopsida, Poales, Poaceae. The record is from RefSeq and is a predicted model, not a curated record.
AUGAUGGCGGAAAAAAUUUCCAGCGACAAAACCAUGAUGGCGGAACUCACUCCAUUUCUGACUGUGUUUGCAGGAACAAAAAGCCCUGCAUUACGAGUUGCACAAAAACAUUGCGCUGCAGCGUCGUGUGACCAUCAGCCAGGCGGAGAAAAUCCAGCACUUUCAGGCGGAGAAUGCGGCUCUGAAGAAACAACUUUCAGAAGCUCAAGGUGCCUCCUCUUCUCUCGCUGCAGCUUCCUCCGAGUUGGAGACUCUUCGUGCUGCACACAAGAAUCUCGAAGCAAAACUCGCAGUGGCAGAACAGAAAAUCUCUGAGAAGAACUCGGAGCUUAUCGGGAAAACUGGUGAGUUUGAGCUGAAAAGACAAACUGACAGCGACAUCAUCCAGAAGCAGCAAAAAGAAAUUGGAGGUCUUCGCAAAUAUAUGGAAACAGCAGAGAGCUGCUGGGACCUGCUCAACUCCGACGUCAUGGAUCCACUCGGAUAUGACGAGGAACGUCGGAGCCAGUUCCCGCGCGAUGACCUGCUUCAGCUGGCCGGAGAAGACUGCAAAGAUCUCAUCUCCGCCUCCAGGAAAAUCUGUCACAACCUCAAC